GCUUAACACAUGCAAGUCGAGGGGCAGCAUGGUCUUAGCUUGCUAAGGCCGAUGGCGACCGGCGCACGGGUGAGUAACACGUAUCCAACCUGCCGUCUACUCUUGGACAGCCUUCUGAAAGGAGGAUUAAUACAAGAUGGCAUCAUGAGUCCGCAUGUUCACAUGAUUAAAGGUAUUCCGGUAGACGAUGGGGAUGCGUUCCAUUAGAUAGUAGGCGGGGUAACGGCCCACCUAGUCUUCGAUGGAUAGGGGUUCUGAGAGGAAGGUCCCCCACAUUGGAACUGAGACACGGUCCAAACUCCUACGGGAGGCAGCAGUGAGGAAUAUUGGUCAAUGGGCGAGAGCCUGAACCAGCCAAGUAGCGUGAAGGAUGACUGCCCUAUGGGUUGUAAACUUCUUUUAUAAAGGAAUAAAGUCGGGUAUGGAUACCCGUUUGCAUGUACUUUAUGAAUAAGGAUCGGCUAACUCCGUGCCAGCAGCCGCGGUAAUACGGAGGAUCCGAGCGUUAUCCGGAUUUAUUGGGUUUAAAGGGAGCGUAGAUGGAUGUUUAAGUCAGUUGUGAAAGUUUGCGGCUCAACCGUAAAAUUGCAGUUGAUACUGGAUAUCUUGAGUGCAGUUGAGGCAGGCGGAAUUCGUGGUGUAGCGGUGAAAUGCUUAGAUAUCACGAAGAACUCCGAUUGCGAAGGCAGCCUGCUAAGCUGCAACUGACAUUGAGGCUCGAAAGUGUGGGUAUCAAACAGGAUUAGAUACCCUGGUAGUCCACACGGUAAACGAUGAAUACUCGCUGUUUGCGAUAUACUGCAAGCGGCCAAGCGAAAGCGUUAAGUAUUCCACCUGGGGAGUACGCCGGCAACGGUGAAACUCAAAGGAAUUGACGGGGGCCCGCACAAGCGGAGGAACAUGUGGUUUAAUUCGAUGAUACGCGAGGAACCUUACCCGGGCUUAAAUUGCAGAUGAAUUACGGUGAAAGCCGUAAGCCGCAAGGCAUCUGUGAAGGUGCUGCAUGGUUGUCGUCAGCUCGUGCCGUGAGGUGUCGGCUUAAGUGCCAUAACGAGCGCAACCCUUGUUGUCAGUUACUAACAGGUUCCGCUGAGGACUCUGACAAGACUGCCAUCGUAAGAUGUGAGGAAGGUGGGGAUGACGUCAAAUCAGCACGGCCCUUACGUCCGGGGCUACACACGUGUUACAAUGGGGGGUACAGAGGGCCGCUACCACGCGAGUGGAUGCCAAUCCCCAAAACCUCUCUCAGUUCGGACUGGAGUCUGCAACCCGACUCCACGAAGCUGGAUUCGCUAGUAAUCGCGCAUCAGCCACGGCGCGGUGAAUACGUUCCCGGGCCUUGUACACACCGCCCGUCAAGCCAUGGGAGCCGGGGGUACCUGAAGUGCGUAACCGCGAGGAGCGCCCUAGGGUAAAACUGGUGACUGGGGCUAAAU
This 1436-nucleotide ribosomal RNA is filed under the name uncultured organism. RNAcentral's name for it is "SSU rRNA". It matches the Rfam family "Bacterial small subunit ribosomal RNA". The record is from RNAcentral.